UAAAACCUAUUUAUAAUGGCGGCAUUUCAUCUUAUUAGAGGAACCUGUUCUUUAAUCGAUAAUCCACGUUCAAUUUCACUUAAAUCAAAAAUUUAUAUACCGCCAUCUAAAAAACUAAUAUAAUAAUAAUAUUUUCAAUAAAUAAAAUAAAAAGUUAGGUCAAGGUGUAAUUAAUAUUUAAGUAAACAAUGGGUUACGCUGAAAAAUAUUUAAGGACAUUUCUAUAAAAAUAGAAAUAGAAAAAG
RNAcentral lists this ribosomal RNA (245 nucleotides) under Hogna crispipes. RNAcentral's name for it is "partial 12S ribosomal RNA". The record is from RNAcentral. Lineage: Eukaryota; Metazoa; Arthropoda; Arachnida; Araneae; Lycosidae.